AUAAAUACCUUCAAGGUGAGAUAGCAAGAUCACAAAGGUGUUAUUCAGGAUGGGGCUUAUCCAUUUGCAUUCUGGUUGUGCUGACCCCUCCAAUUUCCCUAAGUGUAGAAAAUUCAAAUUCAUUAAUAGUGGUGGUGGGGUAAUGCAUUCAUCCUCUUC
Small nuclear RNA from Peromyscus maniculatus bairdii (prairie deer mouse), 159 nucleotides. Its record names the gene U1. It matches the Rfam family "U1 spliceosomal RNA". Rfam says of the family: U1 is a small nuclear RNA (snRNA) component of the spliceosome (involved in pre-mRNA splicing). Its 5' end forms complementary base pairs with the 5' splice junction, thus defining the 5' donor site of an intron. NCBI's taxonomy places the organism in Eukaryota, Metazoa, Chordata, Mammalia, Rodentia, Cricetidae. The record is from Ensembl.